This 236-nucleotide ribosomal RNA is filed under the name uncultured bacterium. RNAcentral's name for it is "partial 16S ribosomal RNA". It matches the Rfam family "Bacterial small subunit ribosomal RNA", at positions 15 to 236 of the family's 1533-position model. The record is from RNAcentral.
GAUCAUGGCUCAGGAUAAACGCUGGCGGCGCACAUAAGACAUGCAAGUCGAACGGACUUAACCAUUAGUUUACUAUUGGAGCGGUUAGUGGCGGGACUGGUGAGGUACACGUAAGCGAACCUGACCUAUCAGAGGGGGAACAACGAGUUUAAGAAAUGACUGCUAAUACCGCAUAUGCCUUAAUUACCACAUGGUAGUAGAGGGAAGGAGCAAUCUGCUGAUAGAUGGGCUUGCGU